RNAcentral lists this ribosomal RNA (404 nucleotides) under Brucella melitensis. Its description in RNAcentral is "partial 16S ribosomal RNA". It matches the Rfam family "Bacterial small subunit ribosomal RNA", at positions 355 to 776 of the family's 1533-position model. The record is from RNAcentral. Lineage: Bacteria; Pseudomonadati; Pseudomonadota; Alphaproteobacteria; Hyphomicrobiales; Brucellaceae. RNAcentral also lists the same sequence under 2 other names.
UGGGGAAUAUUGGACAAUGGGCGCAAGCCUGAUCCAGCCAUGCCGCGUGAGUGAUGAAGGCCCUAGGGUUGUAAAGCUCUUUCACCGGUGAAGAUAAUGACGGUAACCGGAGAAGAAGCCCCGGCUAACUUCGUGCCAGCAGCCGCGGUAAUACGAAGGGGGCUAGCGUUGUUCGGAUUUACUGGGCGUAAAGCGCACGUAGGCGGACUUUUAAGUCAGGGGUGAAAUCCCGGGGCUCAACCCCGGAACUGCCUUUGAUACUGGAAGUCUUGAGUAUGGUAGGGGUGAGUGGAAUUCCGAGUGUAGAGGUGAAAUUCGUAGAUAUUCGGAGGAACACCAGUGGCGAAGGCGGCUCACUGGACCAUUACUGACGCUGAGGUGCGAAAGCGUGGGGAGCAAACAGG